This is a non-coding RNA of Podarcis lilfordi (Lilford's wall lizard), 4009 nucleotides long. NCBI's taxonomy places the organism in Eukaryota, Metazoa, Chordata, Lepidosauria, Squamata, Lacertidae. The record is from the annotation of a GenBank genome assembly.
CAGUCUAAUUCAGGCUGCUACAGUCAAGAGACCCACUACGGCCUUUAAUGAACUCAUUGAGAACUUAAAAUACUUGCAGCGUAGGAUACAAAAUGUAAGUAUGGUUUCAAUAGCAAUGCAAGCGAAAUGUAAAAUUUCUAUUUAUUGGGGGGGGGGGAAUUAACAAAGUUUUAAAUGAAAGUAUGAAAUAUAAAAUGUACUUGUUUUUAUAUUUAUCUAGGAUACUGUUGAACUACAUUCACCAAGAAAUAUCCUGGUAAGACUGACUCAACAUUUGCUUUCUGUUGUUAAACAUUCUAGAUUUGUUUUCAAAUGGUAGCUGUUGAUGCCAUGUGUAUUGCAUAGUGCUGAAUCCCUAUAUCAUGGGUACUGGUCAUCCAUUGUUGGGUUGCUCUUGUGCAAGUGAAGUAGCCCUGGUAGAAGCUGCUAUCAAAGAAGCAGUGAUUUAGGAUUAACCAGAUCUCAGGAGAAAAAAGCACUCAUCGCUUUGCAGGAUUAGUUUCUUAUUUUGUUCUAAUUAAGUAAUAAAUAUACAUUGGCCAAAGGCUAGAACAUACAGCUCUUUCAAUCCAAACGGAUUACUGAUUUGUUAACAGGGUGUGUGGUAGAAAGGACUGAUGCCAUUUUAGUCCCAAACAAAGGCAGCUGAUUAUACCUUUUAUUGCACCAGCUCUGCAGGCAGAGCAGCAAGUGUUUUGUAAUGGCAGGUCAAAAGUUUGUUGUUUAUUACACUUGUACAGCACUCUUCUUUCAGAAGCUCAAAGCCUAUUAGGCGAGGCUUCCACGGUGUCCUUGCUUAAAACUGGGUCAUAAUAUCCACUUAGCUAUAAUAUCAGGUUCUCCAAGGCCACCAUCAGCUGGCUAUUCUACAAACCUAGUUGGUCAACAUAAAGAUAUCACCAGAGACAUUUUGAAUAUUGUUUUGAUGAAGGAGGACUAACACAAGAAAGGUGACUGUAAUUCUAAGCAUGAUCUAGGAUAACAUUAAAAGAGAAAGAGAGAUUUCACUUUUAAAUUGGCAUUAUGCAUUUAAAAUAAUUGAGAAAGAAGAAGAUUGUUUUUACUCAGCAAGGGAUCUUGGAGUUAAAUGUGCGUAAAUACAAUUGUUUCCUGAAAAUAGUUAGAAGGGCAAAUAACAUUGCUCCAUGAACUAGUUGCAUUACACUUGACAUCAGUAUGCAUUAUAAAAAGGUAUAUAUUUCUGAAAGCUGAAGUAUGAAAAUUGAGCACUCUUGUUUGCCUUGACUUAAAAAAUAAAUAAAUCAGACCAAAUAGAAAUUGCUUCAAUUACAGAACAACAAUAUAACUGAAAACCUACAUUUUAAAAGUAACAGAAAAAACUCACCCAACUUCCUUCUGCUUACUACAUUCUGUUACGCUUCAGAAUGCUAUUCUGUUUUUGUUCAUAACUUGAGCAAGGAAGGUCUUCCACUUCUUUGCUACAUUUGUUAACUGUAAGAUAUUAUUAUAGUUCCCAUCAAAUUAGCAUUCUUUAAAUAGCUCAGUAUGUGUUAAAACAAACAGAACUAGUUUCCCUCUGAGAAAACCCUGUCAGGAUCCCAGAAGCAAUGUAUCUACAGUUAGUGACUAACUGCUUAAUCAUAACUUUUCAAGCAAUACAGUCUGCUAGGCUCAGGAAGUUAGCGGUUUCACACACACAACAGUCUUUUAAUGCCCUUACCUACCAUUCUGUACUAGUAGUUUUCUGGGCAUAGCGGUCUUAGUUUACUGUGUAGUACUAUAAUUGAAAACUGCAGAGGGAGAAAAGGUCCCAUUGUUGUAAAUUUGGGAAGCUCAAGGCAGAUUACAAGCUUGAGUAAGCAGUGUUUGGGGAGCAAGAGUGGGAGAUGGCUAUUGCUUUCACACCUGACUUGCAGGUUUCCUGAAGGUAAUGGGUUGGCUGCUGUUGGAAACUGGACUGGUUUUGCACUGUAUGUGUGAAGGGCACAUGCAAAACUGAAAUGGGAAAAAUGCCAGUUGUACUUGCAAAGCUGUCAGAAUGGCAACAUGAAGUGGUAAAAUGAGUACGGACCUAAAACACUUCAUGUGGGAAGACAAAUUUGACUGUUCAAAUAUGACCAGAAGUCUAAGAAUAUCUUGCAUCAAUAUAACGAUAUAUAUGUUUUUCCUUCCAGGGCAUUUGCCUCCUCCCUGCCUUAGACUGCUUCAAAAAUGAAACCAUAUUAUUAAGGCCACUACAGGAUCGCAAAACAGGUGUGAUCCUCACUCGCAUCAAAUAUUUCCGUCCUCCUCCUAUUCCCGGUGCAUCUGACUCGGUAUGGCUAAUGAUAACAUGUUAUUUUAUAGUAAAUGGACUGACCCAAUAAUUUGUCUGAUGUUUUGGUAUGUUCCAUUAGGUUCUGCAACAAUAAAGGGUGCUAGCAGGUUUACCAGACAUAAAGACUUGUGCCUGUAUCAUUCAAGAUUAACUUUAUAAAUAAUUACGUUUCACAUGUCUAUCUCAACAGAUGGGCAGUGGAUUAAUGUGCUUAGAAAGCUCAAUGGAAGCUGAUACAAUAGGAGUCAACACAUAAACUAUAUAGCAUCACAGCUUGAAUCAUCACAUGGCACUGUGAAUAAGCCAUUAGACAACUUCUUAUGAUUAUAUAGGACACUUUAUUUCCAACUUCUAUUCUCCUUGCUGUGUCUUCAGGGACAAUAGAAUUAAGAGCAGAAUUGCUUUUAGAAGCUAGGUAUGUAGCUCCCCCAGCUGAGAAGUAAAACUUGGAUAAACAGUGAGUGAAUUAAACUAUGGUGUAACAUGAUCAGGAGUAAGAAUAUAAGCUUCAAGUUCCUGUUUCAAGUAGCAGCUCAGUUAUUAUUAUGACAAACAUUGGCCAGACCCACACACUCUUGUUGGCUUUUGGAGAAAUCACUCUCCUUUUCUAGCGGUAUUCUCUUGUGCAGUGUUGAAUUCUGGUCUUCUGUAAUGACUUCUGUGGUGGCAUGAGGGGCUACAGUGGGGCUACAGCUCUCUAUGAUCCUGGUCAGCGUGGCCUUAAACAUGUCACUAUCUCCAAAUCUUAAGCAAAUGGAUGAUACUAACCUACUUAGGAAAAUUCUUGUAAGGAUUCCUUUUGGUUCUUAAAUGGCAAAACGAUAUUCUGAUGUGGUAAGACUGCAAGUUACAAUUUCCUGAAAUUCAUGGAAAAUGUAUGCCGGGGUUGAAGUCACACUUUGCUACCUUGGCAGCCUUCUGCCAAAAACUCAUUGCUUAUGUAGGAUUGUCCGAAUAAACUGGAAUAAUCAGUGUGAAGACUGGGCUGGCUUUUCUGCCACCCAGUUUUGCAUUCAGACCUAUAGGAUUAUAUACCAUAGAGUUUCAAUGACAGAAACUUAGAAUUUUGAGAUGCUGUGUUGGACCUGUGAGACCUCAAGUCAUACACCUGUUCUUAAGGAGAAGGCUGAACCCAGAGCUUCCUGCUUCAUUUUACCAUUUGAAAAUGGCUCCAGGUGAUGAGGCUAAAAUACCACAUCUCAAAGAAAGUGUUUGUGUUCAGCCCUGGGAUAUAUGAAAUAAAAGAUGACCACCAACAAGUUUCCUAGAGACUAAGCAUUGCGACCAAGGGUAUCAGGUGGCACAAACAUUACAAAAGGUAACACUUAAGAUAGGGGACAGCACAAUUUUACUUUCUCACCUUUGUUUCUUUUAAAAAAAAUGGAGACAGCUAAUUAAUUUUAUUGUGUAAUCUCUUUAAAACACAUGAAAAAUAAUUAAGACUUUUUCUUCAUCUGACAGACGUGCCCUUCAUGUACCAGUUAUAAGAAACAGAGCCUAAGAACAUUUUUGGAUGAGUUUAUAACACUGCUACAGCAGGUAAUAAAAGUGUAAUCACAAUCAUCAUUAUCUUGUUUUUGGCAUUUGCUUUUUCAACUUGUCUACUAGUGUUUAACAUUUUUGUAAUGUCUAUUUUUACAGAUGUAUCAGCUUCACAUGGAAAACCAAAAUCAAUAGGACACCUGCUGUUUCAACACCCGCUAUGUCAGUAAUAUAAAUGUAAAUAUUGUC